CGCAUAACGUCGCAAGACCAAAGAGGGGGACCCUCGGGCCUCUUGCCAUCGGAUGUGCCCAGAUGGGAUUAGCUUGUUGGUGGGGUAACGGCUCACCAAGGCGACGAUCCCUAGCUGGUCUGAGAGGAUGACCAGCCACACUGGAACUGAGACACGGUCCAGACUCCUACGGGAGGCAGCAGUGGGGAAUAUUGCACAAUGGGCGCAAGCCUGAUGCAGCCAUGCCGCGUGUAUGAAGAAGGCCUUCGGGUUGUAAAGUACUUUCAGCGGGGAGGAAGGGAGUAAAGUUAAUACCUUUGCUCAUUGACGUUACCCGCAGAAGAAGCACCGGCUAACUCCGUGCCAGCAGCCGCGGUAAUACGGAGGGUGCAAGCGUUAAUCGGAAUUACUGGGCGUAAAGCGCACGCAGGCGGUUUGUUAAGUCAGAUGUGAAAUCCCCGGGCUCAACCUGGGAACUGCAUCUGAUACUGGCAAGCUUGAGUCUCGUAGAGGGGGGUAGAAUUCCAGGUGUAGCGGUGAAAUGCGUAGAGAUCUGGAGGAAUACCGGUGGCGAAGGCGGCCCCCUGGACGAAGACUGACGCUCAGGUGCGAAAGCGUGGGGAGCAAACAGGAUUAGAUACCCUGGUAGUCCACGCCGUAAACGAUGUCGACUUGGAGGUUGUGCCCUUGAGGCGUGGCUUCCGGAGCUAACGCGUUAAGUCGACCGCCUGGGGAGUACGGCCGCAAGGUUAAAACUCAAAUGAAUUGACGGGGGCCCGCACAAGCGGUGGAGCAUGUGGUUUAAUUCGAUGCAACGCGAAGAACCUUACCUGGUCUUGACAUCCACGGAAGUUUUCAGAGAUGAGAAUGUGCCUUCGGGAACCGUGAGACAGGUGCUGCAUGGCUGUCGUCAGCUCGUGUUGUGAAAUGUUGGGUUAAGUCCCGCAACGAGCGCAACCCUUAUCCUUUGUUGCCAGCGGUCCGGCCGGGAACUCAAAGGAGACUGCCAGUGAUAAACUGGAGGAAGGUGGGGAUGACGUCAAGUCAUCAUGGCCCUUACGACCAGGGCUACACACGUGCUACAAUGGCGCAUACAAAGAGAAGCGACCUCGCGAGAGCAAGCGGACCUCAUAAAGUGCGUCGUAGUCCGGAUUGGAGUCUGCAACUCGACUCCAUGAAGUCGGAAUCGCUAGUAAUCGUGGAUCAGAAUGCCACGGUGAAUACGUUCCCGGGCCUUGUACACACCGCCCGUCACACCAUGGGAGUGGGUUGCAAAAGAAGUAGGUAGCUUAACCUUCGGGAGGGCGCUUACCACUUUGUGAUUCAUGACUGGGGUGAAGUCGUAACAAGGUAACCGUAGGGGAACCUGCGGUUGGAUCAC
This 1360-nucleotide ribosomal RNA is filed under the name Escherichia coli. RNAcentral's name for it is "bacterial SSU rRNA". It matches the Rfam family "Bacterial small subunit ribosomal RNA", at positions 170 to 1526 of the family's 1533-position model. Lineage: Bacteria; Pseudomonadati; Pseudomonadota; Gammaproteobacteria; Enterobacterales; Enterobacteriaceae. The record is from RNAcentral.